GUGCUUACCAUGCAAGUCGAACGGUGAACACGGAGCUUGCUCUGUGGGAUCAGUGGCGAACGGGUGAGUAACACGUGAGCAACCUGCCCCUGACUCUGGGAUAAGCGCUGGAAACGGCGUCUAAUACUGGAUAUGUGACGUGACCGCAUGGUCUGCGUCUGGAAAGAAUUUCGGUUGGGGAUGGGCUCGCGGCCUAUCAGCUUGUUGGUGAGGUAAUGGCUCACCAAGGCGUCGACGGGUAGCCGGCCUGAGAGGGUGACCGGCCACACUGGGACUGAGACACGGCCCAGACUCCUACGGGAGGCAGCAGUGGGGAAUAUUGCACAAUGGGCGCAAGCCUGAUGCAGCAACGCCGCGUGAGGGACGACGGCCUUCGGGUUGUAAACCUCUUUUAGCAGGGAAGAAGCGAAAGUGACGGUACCUGCAGAAAAAGCGCCGGCUAACUACGUGCCAGCAGCCGCGGUAAUACGUAGGGCGCAAGCGUUAUCCGGAAUUAUUGGGCGU
This 504-nucleotide ribosomal RNA is filed under the name Microbacterium oxydans. RNAcentral describes it as "bacterial SSU rRNA". It matches the Rfam family "Bacterial small subunit ribosomal RNA", at positions 44 to 561 of the family's 1533-position model. Lineage: Bacteria; Bacillati; Actinomycetota; Actinomycetes; Micrococcales; Microbacteriaceae. The record is from RNAcentral.